RNAcentral lists this ribosomal RNA (496 nucleotides) under uncultured bacterium. Its description in RNAcentral is "partial 16S ribosomal RNA". It matches the Rfam family "Bacterial small subunit ribosomal RNA", at positions 29 to 507 of the family's 1533-position model. The record is from RNAcentral.
AUGAACGCUGGCGGCGUGCCUAAUACAUGCAAGUCGAGCGAACAGACGAGGAGCUUGCUCCUCUGACGUUAGCGGCGGACGGGUGAGUAACACGUGGAUAACCUACCUAUAAGACUGGGAUAACUUCGGGAAACCGGAGCUAAUACCGGAUAACAUGUUGAACCGCAUGGUUCAACAGUGAAAGACGGUUUUGCUGUCACGUAUAGAUGGAUCCGCGUCGCAUUAGCUAGUUGGUAAGGUAACGGCUUACCAAGGCAACGAUGCGUAGCCGACCUGAGAGGGUGAUCGGCCACACUGGAACUGAGACACGGUCCAGACUCCUACGGGAGGCAGCAGUAGGGAAUCUUCCGCAAUGGGCGAAAGCCUGACGGAGCAACGCCGCGUGAGUGAAGAAGGUCUUCGGAUCGUAAAACUCUGUUAUUAGGGAAGAACAAAUGUGUAAGUAACUAUGCACGUCUUGACGGUACCUAAUCAGAAAGCCACGGCUAACUACGUG